GGGUCAGUAGGUUGGUCGUGCCACCGGUACGUACUGGUCUCACUGAUUCCUCCUCCCUGAAGAACCGUAAUGUCAUUAAUUUGGUGUUGCGGGGAAACAGGACUGUUACUUUGAAAAAAUUAGAGUGUUUAAAGCAAGCUAACGCUUGAAUACAUUAGCAUGGAAUAAUGAAAUAGGACGAUCGAUCCUAUUUUGUUGGUUUCUAGGAUUGACGUA
Molecule: ribosomal RNA, 216 nt
Filed under: Glomeromycotina sp.
Lineage: Eukaryota; Fungi; Glomeromycota
Description: partial small subunit ribosomal RNA
Rfam family: Eukaryotic small subunit ribosomal RNA (bases 63-216)
Source: RNAcentral